This 203-nucleotide long non-coding RNA is filed under the name Actinidia chinensis (golden kiwifruit). RNAcentral's name for it is "long non-coding RNA (ACHI_LNC009057)". Lineage: Eukaryota; Viridiplantae; Streptophyta; Magnoliopsida; Ericales; Actinidiaceae. The record is from RNAcentral.
CUUAUUUUACAGUUUCAAAAAAAAAUCGAACUUCGUAAAUAUUACAAAAGCCACUUAAUUUUACAGAUGGGGGUUUCCGAGAAACACCAAUGAAAAGCAGAAUCUUUCGAUAUCACCGAUGACUACACACAACAAAUCACAAGCCAGUCCCAUUUUCAGCACCAACAAAAACAGAAGCACGAUGAUAAAAUAAAUCUAAAACA